RNAcentral lists this unclassified non-coding RNA (1844 nucleotides) under Actinia tenebrosa (Australian red waratah sea anemone). RNAcentral describes it as "uncharacterized LOC116287086, transcript variant X2". The record is from RNAcentral. Lineage: Eukaryota; Metazoa; Cnidaria; Anthozoa; Actiniaria; Actiniidae.
AGAAACGAAACGAGGGGGCAAAAUGCACGACUUUCACUAAGAAUCAUGGCUAGUCGAUCUGCGUGCUGAACCCUCCAUACUGCCACAUCAAAACACUAGGAAUACCUAAGCUUCAGAGUCCAAUGAGGUCAAGACAAAUGUUGCAUCUGUACUGACCCAAUGACUAGGUUUAAUAGUUGACAGUUUGCUUACUUUGUUAAAAGGCGAGCGUUAUCUUGAUAGUAUCAGGUUGAAGUGAGUUUAUAAAGCCUUGAAAGGGGGUGGAGAACAAACCCUACAGGAACUCAGAAGAGAAUAAAUUCUACACGAAAUGUUGGCCUCCAAAUUCUUUUGAAAGUCGAUUGUUCUUCGUAUCGAAAAUCGUGAAGCGAAAACAGCCAGCGGAAAGGGAACUGUCAUAGGGAUUGCGUUACUCCACCAAGUGUCGUGCGUUUGGUGGUCAAGCAUCUAUGUUCAUGUGCGCAUAGAAUAAAGUGUGCGUAUGCUCUUGAUGGAUGAGAAGACUAUGGAGUCAUUGGAGGACUAUGGGAUACCUGUGAUAAAAUUAAUUACAUGAAAUAAAAUAUAAAAUAAAAUGAAUACAAAAAGAAAUAGAUAUAAAAUAGAUAAGAUAUUAAUAUUAAAAGAGGAACUACUUUUAAAAAUGCAUGCAGAUGAACUUAAAUAUGUCUUUNGCUAACCGUUAAGCUGUACUACCAUUACAAUUUUAAGGAAUUGCGGGCUCUAGACUCUCCAGGGAUAACAUUUGUGGAAAGGGUAUAGAUCCAGGUUACAAAUUUGUAAACUGUGGGUCCUGGAUUCAAAAGUUCCGAGAUCCAGUACCACGUAUUCCUAUUUAUAAACUUUAGAACUUUUCUAGGAUAAAAACAUGGUGCGUUGUGGUCUAUCCCGUCGGUAAAAACAACUCGUUUUCAUCGUGCCUUAUCUGGUGCAUUACUGUACUCAAGCUAGACCACAAUGCAUCAUGUUUAACGAACUUUUAAAAGGCCUAUGGCAUAACAAAAGCGCAAAGUAAAAAAGUCCCCUUUUUACGUCCAGUUAAAAGUAUGUCACGUGAUUGGUAUCGCUCACUUUCUGAAGAGCGCGCGUGCAAAGGUAUCUGGGACGUUACGUAGAAAGCGUCCCAAACUGAUAAAAAUAACCAGAAGCCUCUGCGCGCUAAAAUCCUUCCCAGCCCUUUUCUCGACCCUUCCCUAACAUAAUCUGCGCACAGCGCGUGAAACCCUGAAGGAGACCAAAUAUAUUUUUUACAAAAACAAAAAAAAAAACAAACAAUAUUUUGAAUUCUCAACAGCAGCAGUAAGGGGGACUCGCGGAGGGGGUACCGGGAGCCCGGGGUAAUACCCGCGCCAAGUAGCAUAGGGCUCCAGCGGGAAUGACCCGUGUUCCGUUAUAUGUUACGCGGUGAUUUCCUUACUGCUGCUGUGUUAACAUAUUUGUUUUAUAUACGAUGCACGAAUGUAAAGAGUUUAUCUACGACUUCUGUAUAAAGUGCCUGAAACCUAAGUUUAAACCCACUAAACCAAAUAAGUAUAUUUGUUGUGGUAAGAAAAUGCAAAUAGAAGAUGACACGUCAGCACAGUGUUACGAGUGUGGUAAGAAUGUUCGUAAUGCCGUACCAAAUGCUACCAAAGAGCAAUAUUACGCCAAUGGAGGCCGUAAGAAGACCCCAUACAAGAGGAUCAAAUACUUUAGGGACUGGAUGAGUCAUAUCCAAGGUCUUCGACCGGUAUAUUUAGACAACGAAGUAAAGGAGAAAAUCAUAGACCACUUAGAAGAGCCAACCCCACAAAGUCUACGGAAGACAUUGAAAAAAUUAAAGCUAGGGAAAUAUUACNAAGCUA